RNAcentral lists this ribosomal RNA (2256 nucleotides) under Triticum aestivum (bread wheat). RNAcentral describes it as "partial small subunit ribosomal RNA". The record is from RNAcentral. Lineage: Eukaryota; Viridiplantae; Streptophyta; Magnoliopsida; Poales; Poaceae.
AUGGGUCUCUGCCUCAGCAAGAAGCAGCAGCGGCGGCAAGAGGAGCAGCCGCGCAAUGCGGCCAAGAGGAGCGGCAAGGACGCCGCCCCGCUAGCCACGGAGGAGAAGAGGGCGCCGACGACGGCCAAGCCGGCGCCGUCCAGGAAGGCCACUGCGCCCAGGGCGGAGGAGCCGGCGGCGGACAAGCGGACGGUGUUCGUGGUCAAGGCUGCGGCCGCCGCCGCGGCUGCCGAGGUGGCGAGCGGCGGGGAGAGCGACGGGGUGAAGAGGGCGCCCCCCGCUCCGGCCGCACCGGUCGAGGAGGCAGCGAAGCCGGCGGUCGUUAGCAGGGUGCCGGUGCGGACCUCCAGCUGCACCAAGGAGGAGGUGGACGCGAUUCUGAUCCAGUGCGGCCGGCUCAGCCGGAGCUCGUCGGCGUCGGGGAAGGCGGCUGCAUCGGGCGAGAGCGGCGGGGGCCAUAGGAGGUACUCUGGAUCUAAGAGGAGCUACGACUUCGACCUGGAGAGGAGGGCUGGGGGCGUCGACGACGAGUGCGACUGGGACAGGCUGGGCGGAGGCGCCGCCGCGUCGAGGCCCUCGCCGCGCCGGAGGACGCCGGACCGUAAGCGGUCGGCCAGCCACGAGAGCCGAAGCGGUGCCGGGAGCGGGAGCAGGAGAGUGAGCCGCUCGCCCGGACGGCGCGGCGAGGGUGCAACCGCGGCGGCGAGCUCCGUGGGCGUCGAGCGGUUUGCGCGGCAGCCCGGGAAGUUGGUGUCGGUCCCGGCCCGAGAGAAAGGGCGCGCGCCGUCGCCGGUGAAGGCUGCGCCGUCUGGGAAGAGGUACGCGUCGCCAACCCUGAGGUCCAACUCCCCCGCAAGGGCGGUGGCCGUCGCGAAUGAGAACGCCGGGGUGCAACCGACGCACGGGCCGUCGCUGAGCCGAAGCUCGUCGAGGAAGGCCGAUAACUCGCCGUACCGUCGCAACCCCAUGUCGGAGCUCGACGAGAACGCACUGGCCAACAACCACCACACCACCAACAACGGCAAGCCCCAAAAUCAAAAGAAACCCAUCGAGAGUGUCGCCGCCGUUUCACAGAGGUUGGGGGAGCGCUGCCAGACUGCGAAGGACAAGACGGAGAUCACGGAGGAGGCCGUGGCGCCGGACACCAAGGCACCGUCCGCGAGGAUGAACGCGACGCACACGGUGAGCAUUGUGGCCGAGAGCGUCGUCAACAACAUGAGGGCGGGGCCUGGGUGCCGGUCGUCGCGGCGGUCCUCGCGGGACUUCGACCACAGCGGCAGUUCUUUCGCCUUCGUGGAGGAUUCCGUUGCGCCAGACACCAGAGCGCCGUCUUCCAAGAUCAACGCGACGCACUCGGUGAACAUUGUGGCCGAGAGCGUCGGGAGCACAAAGGCGGGGCGGUCGUCGAGGAGGUCGUCCCGAGACUUCGACCACGCCUUCCUGAAUGAGGCCAUGGCGUCGGAGACAAAAGCACCGUCGUCCAGGAUGAACGCGACGCACACGGUGAGCAUCGUGUCGGAGAGCGUUGCCAGCCAGAAAGCCGGGCCGGCAGGCCGGUCGUCGAGGCGGUCAUCCCGCGACUUCGAUCACAACGGCAACUCCUAUGCCUCCCUGCUCCUCGAAGACAUCCAGAGCUAUCACCAGCAGAACGCCAGCGACACGGCCGUGGCGGCGCCGGCGUUCUCGCUCCCGGCGUGCGUGUCCAAAGCCUGCUCCAUCCUUGAAGCGGUCGCGGACCUCAACUCCUCGCCGUCGGAGAACAGGAGCUUUGAGCUGGACCGGUCGGCCGACGACAAGGGGUCGGCCAACGUGAGCUGCUACAGCGCCGGGAAGGCGGCGGCGGCGGGCACGCACGUCGUCGAGUCCGAGGUCGUUGUCAAGGACGACCUCAUGGAGCCGAGCCUGCACAAGUACGUGUCCGUGCGGGACAUCCGCGGCGAGGCCGAGCUGCAGGAGUCCGCCGGGAGCAACAGCUUCGCCGGCAACCCGUGGACGUGCUCGUGGGAGCCCAAUUCCGUCGACUCCACCGACCGGACGUGGACGGCCUCGCAGUCCAACAGCGACGAUGCCGAGCAGCGCAGCGGCGGCACGGUCGGCACACUCGAACAGUCUUGGCAGAGCAAGCAGGAGUCCGGUGGCCGUGCGUGGUUGGGCUCUGACGGCAGUGCUCAGCUCGGGCGCGGUGCUCAUCGGGGCGGCGGCGGCGUCGCGCGAUCCGAUGUUCGUACUGCAUCAGCGAACUCUUCUAGCGCUUAG